RNAcentral lists this long non-coding RNA (575 nucleotides) under Setaria viridis. RNAcentral's name for it is "long non-coding RNA (SVIR_LNC010353)". Lineage: Eukaryota; Viridiplantae; Streptophyta; Magnoliopsida; Poales; Poaceae. The record is from RNAcentral.
GUCGGGAAGAGAAGCAAAUGUGCAAUCUUCGUUGGUGAAGAUCUUUUUUGCUUGUGUAUAAUGCGAAUACACAAUAUCAUAAUGUUAUGUGUAGAACAGAAUUAGUGCUUGCAAGAUCUGAAUUAGUUAUGAUCAUUGCAUUUGCAGGUCAUGGUUAUUUGCACAGAAUGCAAAUACUUAAAAUUGUUUGGCAAAGUAAUUUUAUUAGUUAGGCAAAGUAUUGUUCAGUUUUAUUUUAGGGUAGGGCACUUUUAUCUGCAAAAUAGAAUUGUGAAGUUGCUAUUCUAGUGGAAAGCAAAUUUGUCCGUGUUAAAUUGAGCACAUGAUCAGAUUUCUUCAAUUGAGGGGACGGGAUGGGGGGCAUUGAUGAAUUGCCUUCCUUGUAGAAUGAUGUCGCUUGUGCUAUAAACCAAUGCACAAGAGAAUACCGAUACUCUGUGUGUGCACCAUGUUCCUACGUACCUGUGUUGUUCUUAUGUAGAUAGUAUCUAAUCUGAAAGCGUGUAUAGCUAGUUUUUGGUGCCGGAAGUGCUGCGCAGCAUGCCUUGCUCUGCUCCCUGUGGGUUCUGUCGGCC